GCGGCUAUCUGCAAAGUUAAAACUGCAUAAAAAAAUAGAGUCUGUCGACAUCCGCCAGACUCUACAGUACACACAGCAGUGCAUCCGCGUCUUAAGUCCGGCAUUGUCUCCUCUGCGCCGGUGACUGUGUUAUAACGGUUUUAACCUUUAGUUGCCAAUUUUCUUCAGUGACAGAUUUCA
Molecule: non-coding RNA, 180 nt
Filed under: Escherichia coli
Lineage: Bacteria; Pseudomonadati; Pseudomonadota; Gammaproteobacteria; Enterobacterales; Enterobacteriaceae
Also listed under: 27 other names
Source: RNAcentral